UACGUAGGUGGCAAGCGUUGUCCGGAUUUACUGGGCGUAAAGAGCGCGCAGGCGGUCGUUCAAGUCGCGUGUGAAAGCCCCCGGCUCAACUGGGGAGGGUCACGCGAUACUGAUCGACUCGAAGGCAGGAGAGGGUAGUGGAAUUCCCGGUGUAGUGGUGAAAUGCGCAGAUAUCGGGAGGAACACCAAUUGCGAAGGCAGCUCGCUGGGACGGUACUGACGCUGAGGCGCGAAAGCGUGGGGAGCAAACAGG
RNAcentral lists this ribosomal RNA (253 nucleotides) under uncultured bacterium. RNAcentral's name for it is "partial 16S ribosomal RNA". It matches the Rfam family "Bacterial small subunit ribosomal RNA", at positions 524 to 776 of the family's 1533-position model. The record is from RNAcentral.